GUGUCAGCAGCCGCGGUAAUACGGAGGUUCCAAGCGUUGUUCGGAAUUACUGGGCGUAAAGGGAGCGCAGGCGGAUAGGUCAGUCUAAAGUGGAAAUCCGGGGCUCAACCUCGGGCUUGCUUCGGAUACUGCCUGUCUUGAGUUCGUGAUAGGAAGAUGGAAUUCAGGGUGUAGCGGUGAAAUGCACAGAUAUCCUGAGGAACACCGGUGGCGAAAGCGGUCUUCUGGCACGAAACUGACGCUGAGGCUCGAAAGCGCGGGUAGCAAACGGGAUUAGAUACCCCGGUAGUCCGCGCCGUAAACGUUGUGUACUAGGUGUAGGAGGUAUCGACCCCUUCUGUGCCGCAGCUAACGCAUUAAGUACACCGCCUGGGGAGUACGCGCGCAAGCGUGAAACUCAAAUAAAUUGACGG
This 413-nucleotide ribosomal RNA is filed under the name uncultured bacterium. RNAcentral's name for it is "bacterial SSU rRNA". It matches the Rfam family "Bacterial small subunit ribosomal RNA", at positions 505 to 916 of the family's 1533-position model. The record is from RNAcentral.